This 959-nucleotide long non-coding RNA is filed under the name Apteryx rowi (Okarito brown kiwi). Its description in RNAcentral is "lncRNA (ENSARWG00000006555.1)". Lineage: Eukaryota; Metazoa; Chordata; Aves; Apterygiformes; Apterygidae. The record is from RNAcentral.
GCUGCAUCAUAAACAAGCCGCAAGCCAGACCCUUCUGCUAGAUUAUCCGCGAGACUAGACGGCGGGGAGGCUGGAGCGCCGGGGCCGGCACCGCCGCGGGGACCAACGCACGCGCCAUCCCCUCGCUCCGCGCUGCCGCCCCGCGCGUUUUCAGUACUAAUCGCACUUGGUCCAUCACUCUGCACAGAAGCGGUCGAAGGAGGACAACGGCGGCGGCGGAUCGGCGCGGGCGGGAGCAGCGCUGGGAAUCCGGAACAGCUCCGCGCGCCCGGGACCUGCCUGCGGCGCGGCCCCGCCGGGUCCCACCUCCGCUCCGCUCCGGCUUCACCCGUGCUGCUCGCGCGCGCGCUUGCGACAGGCAAAGAAAGGGCGAGUCCGAAAACCAAGACGGCAGCCGCAAACUCUCCAGAAGCAGCAGCUGCCUUGACAGAAAUUAGARCUUCUCAGCCCAGAAGGAGGGAGCGAAGACAACAGAAGCGUUUCAGCUGCGCAGCAAUCACGGGUUGAGGAAAGGAGCCUGGAAAAUUAAAGGGGCAGGAGCAUCGGUGUCGCCGAUUUUACCGGGCGCUGUCGGCCGACGGAGGAAUGCCGCACGCGAGGAUCACGCGCGGGAGCCGCGGCAGAAGGCUGCGGAGGCGCGUCCGUGCCUGGGUGCCGGGAGGGACGGCGCGGCACCGGACAUCUAUGGAUCGCCCUGCAUUUAGAGCCACGCUAUUUUUAAAGCCUUAAAUCAUGCCCCAGCUCUUACUACUGUUUUAAAUUGUCACUUAGCCUCUUAGAAGUUUAUCAUGCGCUAAUUCAUUCAGCUCGUUCAUUUACAUUCUGCUGAUGGGGUACAAAAUUGCUUCUUUUCAUCCCAGAAAGCUCUGGCUUCUGCAAUUUAUGGUGCCUUUUUGAUUUAAUCAGGAUAUUCCCUCAACUGCCAUGCUAAUAAUAAGACAUUUUUCAAGAAGCACCUG